RNAcentral lists this transfer RNA (81 nucleotides) under bacterium. Its description in RNAcentral is "tRNA-Tyr". It matches the Rfam family "tRNA". From Rfam's summary of the family: Transfer RNA (tRNA) molecules are approximately 80 nucleotides in length. Their secondary structure includes four short double-helical elements and three loops (D, anti-codon, and T loops). The record is from RNAcentral.
GGGUCCGUGUCCCGAGCGGCAAAGGGGGUUGACUGUAAAUCAACUGCGAAAGCUUCGUAGGUUCGAGUCCUACCGGGCCCA